CUUUAGUAAUUGCGAAUGAACAAGGAUAUGCUUAGCUUGACAAAUGGAGCUAUUGGCUUUGAAUUGUAUUGUGGAAAUGUAUUACCAACAGAGGUGCAGGUGCCAGCCUAUUGAAAUAAAGCGUCAAUGAGGGUGAGAAUCCUGUUUGUCAUGUGCAGCCCUUUGUGCACGGUGUAUAUUUGCUGAGUCACACUCCUUGGCAUUGGAAUGCAAAGUGGGUGGUAAGUUUCAUGUAAAGGUAAACAUGCAAUUGAGACUGAUAGCACACAAGUACCAUGAGGGAAAUAUGAAAAGGACUUUGAAAAGAGAAUUAAAUGAGUUUGUAUUUGCUGAACACAAAGUAAACAGACUUGAUUUGCUUGGUGGGAGUGUUGCACUUGCUUGACAAGAGCUUUGGGCUGUGGGUGUAAUGAUUCUUUCUUUGCAUGCCAGUUUCUAUUUGUACAUCUGAUUACCUUUGCACAUGAAUGAUAAGUCUCCUGUGGGGGGUGGAUUGCAUGUGCAUGUAAUGAUUUGUGUUUUGAUAAAUGUGUCUGGUGUAUGUGUGUGUUCCUGUGCUUGGGGAUGCUUCCUUCCUUGGACUUACAAGCCCUGACACACACAUGCUGGCAAAAUGCUUCUGCUUGACCCGUCUUGAAACACGGACCAAGGAGUCUAACAGAUGUGCAAAGUUUGAAGGUGGUAUACCUUUGUGUGCAAUGAAAGUGUCAGCUGGGAUAUGUGCACCAGCACCCAAUUAAUUAGCGGACAGAGGUUUGAGUUGGAGCAUAUCUAUUAGGACCCGAAAGAUGGUGAACUAUGCCUGAACAGAAUGAAUUCAGAGGAAACUCUGAUGGAGGUUCGUAUCGAUACUGACGUGCAAAUCGUUCGUCAUAUUUGGGUAUAGGGGCGAAAGACUAAUCGAACCAUCUAGUAGCUGGUUCCCUCCGAAGUUUCCCUCAGGAUAGCUGGAGUUGCUCAGUUUUAUCAGGUAAAGCGAAUGAUUAGAGGAAUUGGGGACAGGUUUGUCUUUGACCUAUUCUCAAACUUUAAAUGGGUAAUAUGUAGUGGUUGCUGUAUGGAACUUCUAAGAUAAAUGGCAAUAUUGGGUGGGCCAUUUUUGGUAAGCAGAACUGGCGAUGAGGGAUGAACCUAAU
This 1136-nucleotide ribosomal RNA is filed under the name Alexandrium catenella. Its description in RNAcentral is "partial large subunit ribosomal RNA". It matches the Rfam family "Eukaryotic large subunit ribosomal RNA", at positions 78 to 1173 of the family's 3401-position model. The record is from RNAcentral. Lineage: Eukaryota; Dinophyceae; Gonyaulacales; Pyrocystaceae.